CGUUGUCGCCGGGGAGCCUCCUCACUGUAUUGCUUGUGUCCAGGCUGAUCCAGGGGGGGUCCUGGUAGAGAAAUCUCUCCCAGAACCGAUCGUAAGGGUCGGAUGGAUAUCUUCAUUGCACACAAAACAAGGGAAACAGGUGCAGCAAGGACAAAAAAGGCUGAGCAUCAAGAAGGGAAGAGCUAGGAGGAAUUAGUUUGUAUAGUUGUAUUACCUGGCUGGCCAUGGACUCGAAUCAUGCUGACCAGGACGACCAGCAGCGCCAUGGUCCAUUUCAGUUUCGCACUUGACGAGCAAGUGGAGCUUUUCGCCAUGGCACUCUUCGGAAGCAAGACGGAGCAUCCUAUUUGCGACGUACAAAUGACUUGUGAAGCUAUAUAGCAGAGAAAAACAACCACCAUGGUUCAGUAAUUCGAUAUCUUUUGAUAAAGUAGGUAAACCUUUUCUCGUGAAAGAAAUGCAACUUGCAGUCAUCCAGAGGAAAAGAAAAUGCCACUUGGCCGUGGAGUUUAGUGCGCACGUCAACUAUCGCGUUAAUUUGAGAAAUUAUAUCUCUGGGAGAAACCUACUGCAUGGCCAUCAGCGUGAUAGCGAAGUCCGAACCCGAGAACUCGUGUUUCUAUGGUGGAACUGUGCUGCUCGGCCGUAUACAGUGUGACCCGACGAAGGUACGCUGGUCUUUCUCUGAAGUCUGAACUAGUCUGCUGUGCCCAAAAUUAGAGAACUGUUACAGGCUAUAGGUACGAGAGAUAAACAAUGACAGAGUUGCAAGACUAAAUCGAUCAGCGACGUUACGCAUGACACACCCAACUAGGCUGGUGCAAUGCAAGAAGCCAAGAAUGCAAGAUAUUGAUGGGUUUAUCUUUUCCAUGCCAUUCGUCAGCCAGCCCGUGCCCGUGGUUGACCGGGAUAAUGGAGAUGGCUGGCUAUCGGUCGCACGUCGAAAUCGUCUGACAGACAAUUGGCCGGCAGGCCGGCCGCCGCCGUAGCUUCCGUAAGUACGCACGGGAAAGAGUAUGCAUCCAUCUCAUUCAUUCUCGCCAGCAUGGGACGGGAGCAGACUGUGCAAUGCAUGCCAGGUUUGAAACUUUGAAUGACUCGGGGGUUUGAUUCCAAGGACUUCUUCGAGGAUCACGUAAGUCGCGCGAGCUGAGGGUAGGUGGCGCGCGGAACCACCAGCCGGGUACGUAGAAGUGCAGUACAGUAGGAUUUUCAGUAUUGCCGGUCGUGUCAUGCACGCACCUGAUCUUCCAGGGCCCUGAACCGGCCGCUGGACUUGAGCUCAGCUCGGGAUGCUUUCUCUCUUUACCAGAAACGAGAGCUUUCAUUUUAUUUUACUCCCUCCCAUCUUAAA
Brachypodium distachyon (stiff brome) is the source of this 1354-nucleotide long non-coding RNA. RefSeq lists it as uncharacterized. NCBI's taxonomy places the organism in Eukaryota, Viridiplantae, Streptophyta, Magnoliopsida, Poales, Poaceae. The transcript has 3 exons. The record is from RefSeq and is a predicted model, not a curated record.